Long non-coding RNA from Callithrix jacchus (white-tufted-ear marmoset), 1153 nucleotides. RefSeq lists it as uncharacterized. The record is from RefSeq and is a predicted model, not a curated record. NCBI's taxonomy places the organism in Eukaryota, Metazoa, Chordata, Mammalia, Primates, Cebidae.
ACCGCUGGAGUCCAAAUAGAAUGGAAGUUUCCAGUCUAGAUGACCUAGAGAUUCCACACCCACAGAGAAAUUGGGCCAAUUUCUCCCUUACCCUUUAUACUUCCCCCAUUCUCCUCUCAGGCCUUUCAUGAUUUCUGCCAGGUGCGUCAGUGUUUACAUACUCUGUCUUCCCUGCCUGAAAAGUUUCCCUUCGGACUCUUUCCUCAGUCAUCUGUACUAAGCUUAUAAAGAGGGUGUACAGAUGUGAUUAAAUUAAGGGUCUCAAAAUGGGGUGAUUAUCCAAGAUGAUCUGAGCAGGCCCUAAAUACAAUCACAUGUAUUCCUAUAAGACUGAGGCAGAGACCAUUUUUUAAAACACAGAAGUGGAGAAGAUGAUGGGACCGUGGAGCCAGUGAUUGGAGUGACGCAGCCGCAAGCCCGGGACAGCCGGAAUGCAGAGCACAUGAAUCACAUCUUUAUUACAUAAAGUUCUCCAGAAUAUGCGUCUAUGGUGUGAAGAGUCCAGCUGAUGAUGGAUGUUACUCAUUGUUUCCCUGAAGGUGCUUUAUUCAUGUUAUCUCCUCACUACAUGAUUCUUCCUCUCAGAUAUUAACCGGAAGGAAUGGUCAGCCUGUAACUACAGCCCCAGGUGAGCAACACAGGCUCUGAACAAUGAGGAUGCAUGAGUUUUCAUCAGUUCUAGCAGGAACUCUUGGCUUAGACAACUAUGCAGUUGAUGGUAUCCCUAUAGGAAAAAAAAUUAUAUAUGCACACACACACACACACACACACAAUUUUGUGAUAGCAGGACAGAUUCAUAGAUUCAUUUUCAGUCAUUUGUUCAACAAAUAUUGGUGUUCAAUAUAUAUUAAUGUUCUGCACUAGGUACUAUGUACUAAAAGUAGAGUAAGGGAUAAAACUAUCUAUUUGAAGGAAUAUACAAACAUGAAUCAAGAAACAGAUAAAAUUCCUAUUACCUUUUAGGAAAAGCAACAUUAACAGAAUCUAGAAAUAGAGAAUAAUAACAAAAUAGAAGUCAGCUACUCGGGAGACUGAGGGUAACAGUGAGCCAAGAUCACGACACUGCACUCCAGAGCAAGACUCCAUCCCAAAAACAAAGAAAGAGAGAAAGGAAGCAAUGAAGCAAGGAAGGGAGGAAGCAAGGAAGCAAGGA